GGCAACGUGCCAGAGUGGUUAAUGGGUGCGCCUCGAAAGCGUAUGGCUUCGGCCGCAUCGGUUCGAAUCCGAUCGUUGUCG
The sequence is a transfer RNA, 81 nucleotides long. It matches the Rfam family "tRNA". From Rfam's summary of the family: Transfer RNA (tRNA) molecules are approximately 80 nucleotides in length. The record is from Rfam.